AAAUCCUCCCCGAUGAUGAGCUCAAGGUCCGCCGAGUCAAGCGCCAGGUUUCCCGAUACCUCCUGUAUGAAGGCAUGCUAUACUGCAGGUCCUUCACAUCUCCGCUCCUCAGUGUUGGGAACCCGCCCAUGCCGCUGAUAUUUCAAAAAAAAUCAGAUGGCAGCGGAAGAGGCAUGUGCGGGAUCGACAUUCAUCGCAUGAACGUUGUUUCAUGAACCGUUCGUAGUUAGGCAAGGAUUAAAAACUUUUAAAAACAAUAGAAGAUCAGAUCUUCACCUUGUGCGGGUAGAUGGUCACCGCAAAUCUGAGUUCGUGGUUUAGGAAGAGGGUUCGCUUGAAGCCGUUCAAGUGUCCGGCCUCUACGGGUAUCCACACGAAGCAGAGAUCCGAUCAAAGCUCUCUAGUCUUCUCGGGGUGCUAGCUCCCUUGCAAAGACUUCUUUUGAUGGCUGAUUUUCUCUCUUUCUUUCAACUCUUGAAUGUACUUGAGAGGAGGAAGAAGGGUGAAGAAGAGAAGGAGGAAUGAACCCCACGCAGCCUUCUUUUCUUUUCCCUGCGUUGGAAGGAAGAAAGGAGGAGGCCGCCAAGGUUCUUUUUCUUCCUCUUCUUGCUUGCGGCUGAACCAAGGGAGGAAGAGGGGUGGCCACGGCUUGGAGGAGGAGGAAUCACAUUCAUCUAGGGCGCCGGCCCCUUGUCCUCUUUUAUAGCCAUCUAGGGCUCCUACAAAUUAGGAGCCCUAGACAAGUUUCCAAAGAGGGGGCGCCGGCCCCCUCUCUUCAUGCCGCACCAAGAGAUCAAAAGAGGA
This 804-nucleotide long non-coding RNA is filed under the name Phoenix dactylifera (date palm). RNAcentral's name for it is "long non-coding RNA (PDAC_LNC009999)". The record is from RNAcentral. Lineage: Eukaryota; Viridiplantae; Streptophyta; Magnoliopsida; Arecales; Arecaceae.